Molecule: ribosomal RNA, 254 nt
Filed under: uncultured bacterium
Lineage: Bacteria
Description: partial 16S ribosomal RNA
Rfam family: Bacterial small subunit ribosomal RNA
Source: RNAcentral
UACGUAGGGAGCAAGCGUUGUCCGGAUUUAUUGGGCGUAAAGGGCUCGUAGGCGGUUCGGUAAGUCGGGUGUGAAACCUCCAGGCUCAACCUGGAGACGCCACCCGAUACUGCUGUGACUUGAAUCUGGUAGGGGAGCACGAAAUUCCUGGUGUAGCGGUGAAAUGCACAGAUAUCAGGAGGAACACCGGUGGCGAAGGCGGUGCUCUGGGCCAGUAUUGACGCUGAGGAGCGAAAGCGUGGGUAGCGAACAGG